Non-coding RNA from Microcebus murinus (gray mouse lemur), 998 nucleotides. The record is from RefSeq and is a predicted model, not a curated record. NCBI's taxonomy places the organism in Eukaryota, Metazoa, Chordata, Mammalia, Primates, Cheirogaleidae.
UGGCGACAACAGGGUGAGACAGGGCACUGCCUUCUCCUCUUCUACCCAAGCCCCCUUCCCUCUUUUCUCCUGCAGUCAGACACAUCUCACGUCAAAUCCCACCACCUGGCAGCUGUGUGAUCUCGGGCAGGUUAUGUAACCUCUCUGGGCCUCGGUUCUGCAUGUGGAAAAUAGGAAUUUUAGCAGUCCCCACUUCGCACCACCAUCAUGAAGCUGAAAGGAAAUAACACACACUGAGCCCUCCGCCACGCCGUCCGCCCAGGGUUUCCUGCCCUGCUUUGGGGGCAGUGCCUGUCGGCUAUGAUUGCUGUCAUAACUGUCAUCUCAAGAGGUACGUGCCCAGUACCAGGCCCUGUUCAUGGUACUGGAGACGCAGGGCCGAGCUUGGAGCCAGAGAACAAACAGGCUCAAAAUGGGGGGCUCCCUUCUUCCUCCACUCCAGUCCCUCAGAGAUGCCAGUGGAAGCCCACGGCCUUCGGGGUGUGGAAACUACUGCGGCACAGAGAGGUGGAAACCGAGGCUUCUGUGUCUUUAGCUCAGUCAGGAACCUUCGGGAAGCGUGUUCACAUGAGGACUAGGGCGGACCAGGUCUGGACAGGCCUGACACUCCGCCUGCUGGUCCAGAGAACGGAGCUGCCCCCAGCCCCAGGCUCACCUGUGCAAGAGGGUGGGAGAGAAACUGGGCAGGGGGUAGAGGGGGGCGGCUCUAGAAGAAUCACAAAGUUACCCUAGUGCACCAGGGUUCUGCUCUGUAAACUGAGGCAGAGACGCUGUCCCACCCCCAUGACCACCCCACACCCCAGCCGAGCGCCAGGCUGGCAGAACUGAGGGCACGUGGGCGGAGGGGCGGGUCAGCUGAGCCCGGACCGAGGGGUCCUGCAAGCGACAGAGGCGGAGAAGCAGCCAGAGGUUGACGCAGCACCGGCGGCCUCGCCACAUUCCCCUCCAUUGUUCCGGGGAGAGCGGCGGGUCCGCGAGGGAGGGGAGGGGGGGAGAGG